This 392-nucleotide ribosomal RNA is filed under the name uncultured bacterium. RNAcentral describes it as "partial 16S ribosomal RNA". It matches the Rfam family "Bacterial small subunit ribosomal RNA", at positions 523 to 918 of the family's 1533-position model. The record is from RNAcentral.
CUACGGAGGAUCCGAGCGUUAUCCGGAUUUAUUGGGUUUAAAGGGUGCGCAGGCGGCCAUUUAAGUCAGCGGUUAAAUCGUGGGGCUCAACCCCAUUCUGCCGUUGAUACUGGGUGGCCUGAUUGCGGUCGAGGUUGGCGGAAUUCGUUGUGUAGCGGGGAAAUGCAUAGAUAUGACGAAGAACACCGAUUGCGUAGGCAGCUGACCAGACCGCAAAUGACGCUCAUGCACGAAAGUGCGGGGAUCGAACAGGAUUAGAUACCCUGGUAGUCCGCACAGUAAACGAUGAAUACUUGUUUUCGGCGAUAUAAUGUCGGAGGCAAAGCGAAAGCGAUAAGUAUUCCACCUGGGGAGUACGCCGGCAACGGUGAAACUCAAAGGAAUUGGCGGGG